ACGGGAGGCAGCAGUGGGGAAUAUUGGGCAAUGGGCGAAAGCCUGACCCAGCAACGCCGCGUGAAGGAAGAAGGUCUUCGGAUUGUAAACUUCUUUUAUGAGGGACGAAGGACGUGACGGUACCCCAUGAAUAAGCCACGGCUAACUACGUGCCAGCAGCCGCGGUAAUACGUAGGUGGCAAGCGUUAUCCGGAUUUACUGGGUGUAAAGGGCGCGUAGGCGGGGAUGCAAGUCAGAUGUGAAAUCCAUGGGCUCAACUCAUGAACUGCAUUUGAAACUGUAUCUCUUGAGUGCCGGAGAGGUAGAUGGAAUUCCUAGUGUAGCGGUGAAAUGCGUAGAUAUUAGGAAGAACACCAGUGGCGAAGGCGAUCUACUGGACAGUAACUGACGCUGAGGCGCGAAAGCGUGGGGAGCAAACAGGAUUAGAUACCCUGGUA
Molecule: ribosomal RNA, 437 nt
Filed under: uncultured Oscillospiraceae bacterium
Lineage: Bacteria; Bacillati; Bacillota; Clostridia; Eubacteriales; Oscillospiraceae
Description: bacterial SSU rRNA
Rfam family: Bacterial small subunit ribosomal RNA
Source: RNAcentral